This 400-nucleotide ribosomal RNA is filed under the name uncultured bacterium. RNAcentral describes it as "bacterial SSU rRNA". It matches the Rfam family "Bacterial small subunit ribosomal RNA", at positions 355 to 772 of the family's 1533-position model. The record is from RNAcentral.
UGGGGAAUAUUGGACAAUGGGCGCAAGCCUGAUCCAGCCAUGCCGCGUGAGUGAUGAAGGCCUUAGGGUUGUAAAGCUCUUUCGUCCGGGACGAUAAUGACGGUACCGGAAGAAGAAGCCCCGGCUAACUUCGUGCCAGCAGCCGCGGUAAUACGAAGGGGGCUAGCGUUGUUCGGAAUCACUGGGCGUAAAGGGCGCGUAGGCGGCUUUGUAAGUCGGGGGUGAAAGCCUGUGGCUCAACCACAGAAUUGCCUUCGAUACUGCAUGGCUUGAGACCGGAAGAGGUUAGUGGAACUGCGAGUGUAGAGGUGAAAUUCGUAGAUAUUCGCAAGAACACCAGUGGCGAAGGCGGCUGACUGGUCCGGUUCUGACGCUGAGGCGCGAAAGCGUGGGGAGCAAA